Molecule: ribosomal RNA, 494 nt
Filed under: uncultured bacterium
Lineage: Bacteria
Description: partial 16S ribosomal RNA
Rfam family: Bacterial small subunit ribosomal RNA
Source: RNAcentral
GACGAACGCUGGCGGCGUGCUUAACACAUGCAAGUCGAACGGUGAAGCGCCUUCCUUUUUGGUGGGUGUGGAUGAGUGGCGAACGGGUGAGUAACACGUGAGUAACCUGCCCCCUUCUUCUGGAUAACCGCAUGAAAGUGUGGCUAAUACGGGAUAUUCUGGGUCUGUCGCAUGAUGGGUCUGGGAAAGAUAUUGUUUCGGUGGGGGAUGGGCUCGCGGCCUAUCAGCUUGUUGGUGGGGUGAUGGCCUACCAAGGCGGUGACGGGUAGCCGGCCUGAGAGGGUGGACGGCCACACUGGGGCUGCGCCCCGGCCCAGCCUCCUACGGGAGGCAGCAGUGGGGAAUAUUGCACAAUGGGCGCAAGCCUGAUGCAGCGACGCCGCGUGAGGGAUGGAGGCCUUCGGGUUGUGAACCUCUUUCGCCAGUGAAGCAGGCCUGCCUCGUUUGUGGGUGGGUUGACGGUAGCUGGAUAAGAAGCGCCGGCUAACUACGUG